This 72-nucleotide transfer RNA is filed under the name Marmota marmota marmota (Alpine marmot). It matches the Rfam family "tRNA". From Rfam's summary of the family: Transfer RNA (tRNA) molecules are approximately 80 nucleotides in length. Their secondary structure includes four short double-helical elements and three loops (D, anti-codon, and T loops). Further hydrogen bonds mediate the characteristic L-shaped molecular structure. tRNAs have two regions of fundamental functional importance: the anti-codon, which is responsible for specific mRNA codon recognition, and the 3' end, to which the tRNAs corresponding amino acid is attached (by aminoacyl-tRNA synthetases). tRNAs cope with the degeneracy of the genetic code in two manners: having more than one tRNA (with a specific anti-codon) for a particular amino acid; and 'wobble' base-pairing, i.e. permitting non-standard base-pairing at the 3rd anti-codon position. RNAcentral also lists the same sequence under 2 other names. Lineage: Eukaryota; Metazoa; Chordata; Mammalia; Rodentia; Sciuridae. The record is from Rfam by way of RNAcentral.
UGGGUUGUGGCUUAGUGGCAGAGUGCCUGCCUAGCAGGUGUGAGGCACUGGGUUCAAUUCUCAGCACCACAU